Fundulus heteroclitus (mummichog) is the source of this 449-nucleotide long non-coding RNA. RefSeq lists it as uncharacterized. The transcript has 3 exons. The record is from RefSeq and is a predicted model, not a curated record. Lineage: Eukaryota; Metazoa; Chordata; Actinopteri; Cyprinodontiformes; Fundulidae.
UUGGAAAGCCUUGUUGUUGUUGCUGCUGUUUUUUUUUUUUUUUUUCCUAGGCUGCACCAUCUUCUUUACGACGGCCUUCUCUCCGUUUCUCUGUGUGUGAAUGUGCAGGAUGGGGCACUGAUAAUAAGGCUAUGUGCUGUUGUCUCGUCAGAUUUAUUGCCGUUCUUUCGCCCUUGUAGCUUCCAUAGAGAGGACGUGAAAAAGGAGGCAGACACAAAGGAGAUGUCGUAAAAAUUUCGUAAAAAACAAAACGCAACAAAAGACUAAAUCAAUGAUUGUCCUCGUGUGAGUAGACCAGAGUGAACCUGACUUCACACCUCACCUCUAAAGACUCUGCUUCUUUCAGGCAGUCCAGGCCAGGCAGGGUCAUCAGAGACAGGUUUCACGGCCACCUCCUUGUGACGUCUGCUGCUCCGCGCCUGGUUUCCCCUAGCACUCUUGAAGGCCUC